UAAGGAAUAUUGGACAAUGGUCGCAAGACUGAUCCAGCCAUGCCGCGUGCAGGAAGACGGCCCUAUGGGUUGUAAACUGCUUUUGUACCAGAGAAAACCUAUCUACGUGUAGAUAGCUGAUAGUAUGGUAAGAAUAAGCAUCGGCUAACUUCAUGCCAGCAGCCGCGGUAAGACGAAGGAUGCAAGCGUUAUCCGGAUUCAUUGGGUUUAAAGGGUGCGUAGGCGGGCUUGUAAGUCAGUGGUGAAAUCUCUCAGCUUAACUGAGAAACUGCCAUUGAUACUGCAGGCCUAGAGUAUAGAUGACGUUGGCGGAAUAUGACAUGUAGUGGUGAAAUACUUAGAUAUGUCAUAGAACACCGAUUGCGAAGGCAGCUAACGAAACUAUAACUGACGCUGAGGCACGAAAGUGCGGGGAUCAAACA
This 422-nucleotide ribosomal RNA is filed under the name uncultured bacterium. RNAcentral's name for it is "bacterial SSU rRNA". It matches the Rfam family "Bacterial small subunit ribosomal RNA", at positions 355 to 774 of the family's 1533-position model. The record is from RNAcentral.